RNAcentral lists this non-coding RNA (27 nucleotides) under Bombyx mori (domestic silkworm). Lineage: Eukaryota; Metazoa; Arthropoda; Insecta; Lepidoptera; Bombycidae. The record is from RNAcentral.
UGAUCAUGAGGUGAUCUUUGCAGCCAC